GUUUAGCCCUGAUUGUAGCAUUUGUUUGAGCUCUUUUUUAGUUUGUUCGCGAAAAUUUGUGAAGUAUGAGCAAAUUUAUAAAGUGAACAUACUAAAAAAAGCGAGUGCGAAAAGCAGGAAAUAGC
Molecule: unclassified non-coding RNA, 125 nt
Filed under: Polaribacter sp. KT 15
Lineage: Bacteria; Pseudomonadati; Bacteroidota; Flavobacteriia; Flavobacteriales; Flavobacteriaceae
Description: Flavo-1 RNA
Source: RNAcentral